RNAcentral lists this ribosomal RNA (253 nucleotides) under uncultured bacterium. Its description in RNAcentral is "partial 16S ribosomal RNA". It matches the Rfam family "Archaeal small subunit ribosomal RNA", at positions 474 to 727 of the family's 1478-position model. The record is from RNAcentral.
UACCCGCAGCACAAGUGGUGGUCAUUAUUAUUGGGCCUAAAGCGUCCGUAGCAGGCUUGUUAGAUGCCUGGGUAAAUCGAUGCGCUCAACGCAUCGAACUCCGGGUAGACCGGCAAGCUCGAGACCGGGAGAGGCGUGAGCUACUCGAGGGGUAGGGGUAAAAUCCUGUAAUCCUUCGGGGAGGACCAGUGGCGAAGGCGUCACGCUAGAACGGCUCUGACUGUGAGGGACGAAGCCCUGGGGCGCAAACCGG